RNAcentral lists this ribosomal RNA (945 nucleotides) under Curvularia lunata. RNAcentral's name for it is "partial large subunit ribosomal RNA". It matches the Rfam family "Eukaryotic large subunit ribosomal RNA", at positions 24 to 982 of the family's 3401-position model. The record is from RNAcentral. Lineage: Eukaryota; Fungi; Ascomycota; Dothideomycetes; Pleosporales; Pleosporaceae.
UUACCCCGCUGAAACUUAAGCAUAUCAAUAAGCGGAGGAAAAGAAACCAACAGGGAUUGCCCUAGUAACGGCGAGUGAAGCGGCAACAGCUCAAAUUUGAAAUCUGGCUCUUUCAGAGUCCGAGUUGUAAUUUGCAGAGGGCGCUUUGGCUUUGGCAGCGGUCCAAGUUCCUUGGAACAGGACGUCACAGAGGGUGAGAAUCCCGUACGUGGUCGCUAGCUAUUGCCGUGUAAAGCCCCUUCGACGAGUCGAGUUGUUUGGGAAUGCAGCUCUAAAUGGGAGGUAAAUUUCUUCUAAAGCUAAAUAUUGGCCAGAGACCGAUAGCGCACAAGUAGAGUGAUCGAAAGAUGAAAAGCACUUUGGAAAGAGAGUCAAACAGCACGUGAAAUUGUUGAAAGGGAAGCGCUUGCAGCCAGACUUGCUUGCAGUUGCUCAUCCGGGCUUUUGCCCGGUGCACUCUUCUGCAGGCAGGCCAGCAUCAGUUUGGGCGGUGGGAUAAAGGUCUCUGACACGUUCCUUCCUUCGGGUUGGCCAUAUAGGGGAGACGUCAUACCACCAGCCUGGACUGAGGUCCGCGCAUCUGCUAGGAUGCUGGCGUAAUGGCUGUAAGCGGCCCGUCUUGAAACACGGACCAAGGAGUCUAACAUCUAUGCGAGUGUUUGGGUGUCAAGCCCGAGCGCGUAAUGAAAGUGAACGGAGGUGGGAACCCGCAAGGGCGCACCAUCGACCGAUCCUGAAGUUUACGGAAGGAUUUGAGUAAGAGCAUGGCUGUUGGGACCCGAAAGAUGGUGAACUAUGCUUGAAUAGGGUGAAGCCAGAGGAAACUCUGGUGGAGGCUCGCAGCGGUUCUGACGUGCAAAUCGAUCGUCAAAUUUGGGCAUAGGGGCGAAAGACUAAUCGAACUAUCUAGUAGCUGGUUCCUGCCGAAGUUUCCCUCAGGAAAAG